RNAcentral lists this non-coding RNA (27 nucleotides) under Cricetulus griseus (Chinese hamster). Lineage: Eukaryota; Metazoa; Chordata; Mammalia; Rodentia; Cricetidae. The record is from RNAcentral.
ACAGGACUACAUUGACUACAGGUUAAG